GAUGAACGCUGGCGGCGUGCCUAAUACAUGCAAGUCGAGCGAAGAGGGGACGGGUGAGUCACACGUGGAUAACCUCCUAUAAGACUGGGAUAACUUCGGGGAACCGGAGCUAAAUCGGAUGCUUAUAGAUGGAUCCGCGCUGAAUUAGCUAGUUGGUACGGUAACGGCUUACCAAGGCAACGAUGCAUAGCAGACCUGAGAGGGUGAUCGGCCACACUGGAACUGAGACACGGUCCAGACUCCUACGGGAGGCAGCAUUAGGGAAUCUGCCGCAAUGGGCGAAAGCAUGACAGAGCAACGCCGCGUGAGUGAUGAAGGUCUUCGGAUCGUAAAACUCUGGAAUUAGUGAAGCGGUACCUAAUCAGAAAGCCACGGCUAACUACGUGCCAGCAGCCGCGGUAAUUC
Molecule: ribosomal RNA, 405 nt
Filed under: uncultured bacterium
Lineage: Bacteria
Description: partial 16S ribosomal RNA
Rfam family: Bacterial small subunit ribosomal RNA
Source: RNAcentral